Molecule: ribosomal RNA, 508 nt
Filed under: uncultured bacterium
Lineage: Bacteria
Description: partial 16S ribosomal RNA
Rfam family: Bacterial small subunit ribosomal RNA
Source: RNAcentral
GACGAACGCUGGCGGCGUGCCUAAUACAUGCAAGUCGAACGCUUCUUUCCUCCCGAGUGCUUGCACUCAAUUGGAAAGAGGAGUGGCGGACGGGUGAGUAACACGUGGGUAACCUACCCAUCAGAGGGGGAUAACACUUGGAAACAGGUGCUAAUGCCGCAUAACAGUUUAUGCCGCAUGGCAUAAGAGUGAAAGGCGCUUUCGGGUGUCGCUGAUGGAUGGACCCGCGGUGCAUUAGCUAGUUGGUGAGGUAACGGCUCACCAAGGCCACGAUGCAUAGCCGACCUGAGAGGGUGAUCGGCCACACUGGGACUGAGACACGGCCCAGACUCCUACGGGAGGCAGCAGUAGGGAAUCUUCGGCAAUGGACGAAAGUCUGACCGAGCAACGCCGCGUGAGUGAAGAAGGUUUUCGGAUCGUAAAACUCUGUUGUUAGAGAAGAACAAGGACGUUAGUAACUGAACGUCCCCUGACGGUAUCUAACCAGAAAGCCACGGCUAACUACGUG